GUUUCCGUAGUGUAGUGGUUAUCACGUGUGCUUCACACGCACAAGGUCCCCGGUUCGAUCCCGGGCGGAAACA
Non-coding RNA from Trachymyrmex septentrionalis, 73 nucleotides. The record is from Rfam. NCBI's taxonomy places the organism in Eukaryota, Metazoa, Arthropoda, Insecta, Hymenoptera, Formicidae.